This 253-nucleotide ribosomal RNA is filed under the name uncultured bacterium. RNAcentral's name for it is "partial 16S ribosomal RNA". It matches the Rfam family "Bacterial small subunit ribosomal RNA", at positions 524 to 776 of the family's 1533-position model. The record is from RNAcentral.
UACGAAGGGGGCUAGCGUUGUUCGGAUUUACUGGGCGUAAAGCGCACGUAGGCGGAUCGAUCAGUCAGGGGUGAAAUCCCAGAGCUCAACUCUGGAACUGCCUUUGAUACUGUCGAUCUGGAGUAUGGAAGAGGUGAGUGGAAUUCCGGGUGUAGAGGUGAAAUUCGUAGAUAUUCGCAAGAACACCAGUGGCGAAGGCGGCUCACUGGCCCGGAACUGACGCUGAGACGCGAAAGCGUGGGGAGCAAACAGG